RNAcentral lists this ribosomal RNA (418 nucleotides) under bacterium enrichment culture clone ALO1_GLFRUDD03G6YY6. Its description in RNAcentral is "bacterial SSU rRNA". It matches the Rfam family "Bacterial small subunit ribosomal RNA", at positions 9 to 429 of the family's 1533-position model. The record is from RNAcentral.
GAGUUUGAUCGUGGCUCAGAUUGAACGCUGGCGGCAUGCCUUACACAUGCAAGUCGAACGGCAGCACGGGAGCUUGCUCCUGGUGGCGAGUGGCGAACGGGUGAGUAAUGCAUCGGAACGUAUCCUGGAGUGGGGGAUAACGUAGCGAAAGUUACGCUAAUACCGCAUAUUCUGUGAGCAGGAAAGCGGGGGACCUUCGGGCCUCGCGCUCUUGGAGCGGCCGAUGUCGGAUUAGCUAGUUGGUGAGGUAAAGGCUCACCAAGGCGACGAUCCGUAGCAGGUCUGAGAGGAUGAUCUGCCACACUGGAACUGAGACACGGUCCAGACUCCUACGGGAGGCAGCAGUGGGGAAUUUUGGACAAUGGGGGCAACCCUGAUCCAGCCAUGCCGCGUGAGUAAAGAAGGCCUCGGUUGUAAG